CGUCAUUUCCGGGCGACUGUGCGCGUGCUGCUCUGUGCGCCCCGUGGCUUUUUUUUUUCUUGGCGAGCGUUGUUAUCGCUGUUUGGUGGCUAACACUAGUGUGGUCACAGGGAAAUGCCGGGGCCAGCCAGUGCCCCCCCCCCCUCCUCACGUGUGUCCUAAAACCGGGAUGUGUGUUUUUAAGUACACGCGAGCAACCGCAGUAUUUCAAAGCUAAACUAAAGGCCGGCGCGUGCUUCUGCGUCUGCGUCGACGCACUCGUUUCAAUUCAUGGUUCCAAAGUCUUGCGUGUGUUGCAGAACAAUUCACCGCCAGAACAACAGGCGGAGUGACGUGUUUUUGUUGAAGACGACCUAGAGAGUCACGUCUUAUUUAUUUAUUUAUCAUUUAUCAGCUUUCAUCGCGGACACAUUUGUCCCGUAUUUUCCUCCACAACUUUGCGCACCUCUCGAACCGGCAAACCGGCGUUUGCGGCGAUCUCCCUCCGUGAAUCCAACCCGCCAGUGACGGCUUGUAGAAGCGGUCAUAUUUACGCAUUUCUUCCCGACAAAAGAUCUUCAAUCUGAUCCGUUCUCUCGUAAACAUUCUUCGUUUUAAUAAUGGCGGUAUCGGGCUAUGAAAGCGGAAAUGUGAGAGUCCGCAAAGGACGCAGUUAGCGGACCAAUCGCUGCCUGGUGCGCUGUCAAGAGCGACGCAAGCCUAGAAAAAUGGCUCGACACACGCAAGGACGCAAGGAGGUGUGAAAAGCGACGCAAGGGACACGCAAGGGGGGAUUGCGUCUGCGUCUCUCUGAAAACGCAGAAGGAUAAAUUAGGCUUAACGAGAUUUUCCUGUAAUUAGGAGUUGCUGUGAUGAGCGGAUCGGGGUCGCUGCGGUUUUCUCUCCGGGGAAGCUUCGUCUCCGCGUUCAUACCUUGCUGGAGACUGGUGGUGCUGGUGGCCCUUUUUGUUUGCCGUGUCCUGGGAAGCGGGAUUCUCUCCCCCCCCCCUUACACCUAGCCUUGUCCAUCCACUCGGCUCCAACCCUCUUAUUGAUUUUUCGUUUUAAAUAAAGCUGUAUUUUUCUUAACC
This is a long non-coding RNA of Gasterosteus aculeatus aculeatus (three-spined stickleback), 1070 nucleotides long. Lineage: Eukaryota; Metazoa; Chordata; Actinopteri; Perciformes; Gasterosteidae. The record is from Ensembl.